CGAGACUUGGAGCCAGAAUCUGAGCCUCAGCUGGAGUCAGAGACAGCAGGAAAAUGGGUCCUGUGUAAUUAUGACUUCCAGGCCCGCAACAGCAGUGAGCUGUCGGUCAAGCAGCGGGACGUACUGGAGGUCCUGGAUGACAGUCGUAAGUGGUGGAAGGUUCGGGACCCAGCGGGGCAGGAGGGAUAUGUGCCCUACAACAUCCUGACACCCUACCCCGGACCCCGGCUGCACCACAGCCAAAGCCCUGCCCGCAGCCUGAACAGCACUCCUCCUCCACCACCAGCCCCAGCCCCGGCCCCACCUCCAGCUCUGGCUCGGCCCCGCUGGGACAGGCCCCGCUGGGACAGCUGCGAUAGCCUCAACGGCUUGGACCCCAGCGAGAAGGAAAUUCUCCCAGAUGCUCAUCGUCAACGAGGAACUGCAGGCGCGCCUGGCCCAGGGCCGCUCGGGACCGAGCCGCGCAGUCCCAGGGCCCCGCGCCCCGGAACCGCAGCUCAGCCCGGGCUCGGACGCCUCCGAGGUCCGCGCCUGGCUGCAGGCCAAGGGCUUUAGCUCCGGGACCGUGGACGCGCUGGGUGUGCUGACCGGGGCGCAGCUUUUCUCGCUGCAGAAGGAGGAGCUGCGGGCGGUGAGCCCCGAGGAGGGGGCACGUGUGUACAGCCAGGUCACCGUGCAGCGCUCGCUGCUGGAGGACAAAGAGAAAGUGUCAGAGCUGGAGGCAGUGAUGGAGAAGCAAAAGAAGAAGGUGGAAGGCGAGGUGGAAAUGGAGGUCAUUUGACCUGCCAGGCGCCCUUCGCAAAGAGUGACGAGGCCCCGUGGGAGAACGGACUCCUCAGACUCUCCCCAAUAGCGGAAGUCGAUCUUCUGAAGGAUGGCCAAUCUGCUCCGGCCCUGGUCUUCCCCCAUCCCGGUGGACAGACUUAACGAUCCUUGCUGCAGUCCCUCCGGAGAGGAUCUGGACUGGCUGGGAGUGGGGAGGGCGUGGAGACAGUCUACGGAAAGCGCUAGCAGACCCCCGAGAGGGUGCAGUGGAGCCCUGAGCAUUGUAAUAUGCGGCCCAGCCUAUAAACAGCCUCCGUGCUU
RNAcentral lists this long non-coding RNA (1086 nucleotides) under Homo sapiens (human). RNAcentral's name for it is "long non-coding RNA NONHSAT179954.1". Lineage: Eukaryota; Metazoa; Chordata; Mammalia; Primates; Hominidae. The record is from RNAcentral.